This is a non-coding RNA of Mesorhizobium amorphae CCNWGS0123, 181 nucleotides long. NCBI's taxonomy places the organism in Bacteria, Pseudomonadati, Pseudomonadota, Alphaproteobacteria, Hyphomicrobiales, Phyllobacteriaceae. The record is from Rfam.
UGCGCAGCGCGUGCUUGACCACGACGCUGCCGAAGGAAAGGCCCUUCAGCCGUGCGGUGCGGAUAUAUUGCUGCGUCAUCACCUCGACCAUCGAGGCGCGUGUCAUGCGCGCGAUAUAGCCGAUGCCGUAGAUCGCCAGCGUCAUCACCGGCAGCGUGAAAUUGUAGAAGGUGAUGCCUUG